This 73-nucleotide transfer RNA is filed under the name Gemmatimonadota bacterium. RNAcentral describes it as "Gemmatimonadetes bacterium (soil metagenome) tRNA-Asn". It matches the Rfam family "tRNA". From Rfam's summary of the family: Transfer RNA (tRNA) molecules are approximately 80 nucleotides in length. Their secondary structure includes four short double-helical elements and three loops (D, anti-codon, and T loops). Lineage: Bacteria; Pseudomonadati; Gemmatimonadota. RNAcentral also lists the same sequence under 1 other name. The record is from RNAcentral.
UGGGGAGUAGCUCAACCGGCAGAGCGCCGCGCUGUUAACGCGGUGGUUGCAGGUUCGAAUCCUGCCUCCCCAG